UAAUGAUCAUGGCUCACGAGUGACCGCUGGCGUUAAAGGCCUAACCACCAUGCAAGUCGAACGGCAGCACAGGAGAGCUUGCUCUCAUGGGUGGCGAGUGGCGGACGGGUGAGGAAUACAUACGGAAUCUACUCUGUCGUGGAGAGGGAUAACGUAAGGGAAACCUUACAGCAUANAUACACUGGAAUACGACCUACAGAUGGAUGAAAAGCAAGG
Molecule: ribosomal RNA, 216 nt
Filed under: uncultured bacterium
Lineage: Bacteria
Description: partial 16S ribosomal RNA
Source: RNAcentral